RNAcentral lists this ribosomal RNA (253 nucleotides) under uncultured bacterium. RNAcentral's name for it is "partial 16S ribosomal RNA". It matches the Rfam family "Bacterial small subunit ribosomal RNA", at positions 524 to 776 of the family's 1533-position model. The record is from RNAcentral.
UACAGAGGGUGCAAGCGUUGUUCGGAAUCAUUGGGCGUAAAGGGCUCGUAGGCGGCCAACUAAGUCGGAUGUGAAAUCCCCAGGCUUAACCUGGGAACUGCAUCCGAUACUGGAUGGCUUGAAUCCGGGAGAGGGAUGCAGAAUUCCUGGUGUAGCGGUGAAAUGCGCAGAUAUCAGGAGGAACACCGGUGGCGAAGGCGGGUCUCUGGGCCGAUACUGACGCUGAGGAGCGAAAGCGUGGGGAGCGAACAGG